RNAcentral lists this ribosomal RNA (253 nucleotides) under uncultured bacterium. RNAcentral's name for it is "partial 16S ribosomal RNA". It matches the Rfam family "Bacterial small subunit ribosomal RNA", at positions 524 to 776 of the family's 1533-position model. The record is from RNAcentral.
GACGAAGGGGGCAAGCGUUGUCCGGAAUCAUUGGGCGUAAAGCGCGCGUAGGCGGCCCUGUAAGUCCGUUGUGAAAGUCGAAGGCUCAACCUUCGAAAGCCGAUGGAUACUGCAGGGCUAGAGUCCGGAAGAGGCGAGUGGAAUUCCUGGUGUAGCGGUGGAAUGCGCAGAUAUCAGGAGGAACACCAAUAGCGAAGGCAGCUCGCUGGGACGGUACUGACGCUAAGGCGCGAAAGCGUGGGGAGCGAACAGG